Molecule: long non-coding RNA, 17316 nt
Filed under: Nicotiana tabacum (common tobacco)
Lineage: Eukaryota; Viridiplantae; Streptophyta; Magnoliopsida; Solanales; Solanaceae
Description: long non-coding RNA (NTAB_LNC009594)
Source: RNAcentral
UCUCACUCAACAAUUCUGCAUCCUCACAAUUCACGCUCACUUCCCCCACUCUUCGAAGAUACGCUCUUUUUCUCACCAUACACAUCUCUCUGAACAAACACACAAAAACACACGAACUCACAGUCCAAAUAGCUAAAACAAAGGUUUUUGAAUUGAAAUUGAAGCUCAGAUCUGAAAUUUGGAAAAAUAUCAAAAAACAAAGAGAGAAAACAGCGUAAAAGAGGGAUUUCUGUAGCUGUGGAAUUGCAGUUUUAUUUGCUCUCAUCUUCUGGGUUCUAAGAGGUGAAAAUCCUCGCGGUUUACUGUUGGCUGAGCUCUGCCGCAUUCUCUUCCCCCACUGUUCUGUUGAAGUCAGUCAUCUUUUUUCUUUGGCAAUCAAGGUACUGUUUUCUCCAAUGUAGAUAUGCUAUUUUAAAUGAGAUUUAUGUUGACAUUAUUAGUGAUGCUUUAUUGUUUAAAGUUCAUAUCAAGCUUUCCCGUGUUUAAACCUUUUUUUUCAGAAUUUAGACUCUCAAUGCGAUUUUGCCUAAAACAGUCUAUGAUUCUCCUGUAGCUUAUCUGUGAACAUUGAGUCUAUUUGCUUUCCUCACUUCGUCUCGAUUUCUGCUUGAAGUUGUCUUUGUUCAUUUUGCCGUCAAUGAUUUGUUCCUACUUAUUUUUAAAUUUGGAAUCUGUUAAGACUUCUACCUUCAAGGUUGUUGAGGGGUUAGUUGAAUUGACUUUUAUUUGAGCAUGGAGAUUGAAUUCGUGUUAAGUAUUCUGUUUCGAGGUGAAAUUCGUGAUGCAUUAGCUACUGUGCUUCAGCUAGUUGCUCAGUUGAUUCCAUGUAUUGGAAACAAUAGAGUUGUUAUCAUCAUUCGCAUUUUUCGCAAGUUUUUCUUGUUUGUUCUUUGGACCGAGCUUACGAUAGAUGGAUUGAUAUCUUUUCUGCUGUUGGUUUGGUUAGUGUCAUUUGAAUUUGAUGAAUCAAUGUCCUUAAGUAUGUCGACAUCCUAGCAGACUCUUUCACCGUUGAUAUACCCAUUAACUUGCAUUUAUCUUUGCCUAACAUUGAAGUUCCAGUUUCAUAUUUUAAAGUUGGCGCACCCCUUAUGAGUCUGUUGAAGUUUCAUUAAUUUCAAAUAGCAAUUGUUUCGAUUUUAGUCACUUAGCAGGUUUAUUGUUGUCUUCUUAGAGUUUAAAAUGUUUUUUUCCGUGUCUCAUCCUCUUACAGUCGCAUUAGUAAAAGAUAUAGGCAUAAAUUGUUGGGUUGUAACAUUAAUUUUUUUGAAGUAUCAUUUUGAAUAGAUUCAUAAUAGUUAAAAUCAUACAUUUUUUCCACAAUAAUUCCAUACCAUAAUUCAUGACCCCACAAGUUAUCUCAAAACCUUAGGAAAUUAAUUUAACUCAUGAACAUCGUAGAAUGCUUUAGGCGCGUUCUAAUCUCUUAUCGUGAUUGUGUACACGUGCGCGUGACAUAAUUAUGAUUUUCAAAAUAAAUCAAAGUACGCAUUCGCGCGACUUUGGCCAAACAACCUUAAUAUUUAAUAUGGUGUUAUUAAUUGUGUACACGUACACGUGACAUAAUUUUUAGCACACCAAAUAAACGAAUUCACACACGCGUGAUUCGUUUCAAAAGAUAAUUCCAUAACGCCAUAAUUAAAAGCGGUAAAAGGUAAAACGCACAUAGGUUUUUAAAAAUACGUAUUUAAAUAAUUAAUUAAGCUAGGUAUGAUUAAAAGCGACCGUGCUAGAACCACGGAACUCGGGAGUGCCUCACAUCUUCUCCGGGGUUAACAGAACUCCUUACCCGGUCUUCUGUAUUUCACGGACUUUAAAACAGUCAAUUUCCUUGAUUUGGGAUUUAAAAAUAAACCUAUGACUUGGGACACCAUAAAAAUUAUUUCAAGUGGCGACUCUAACUAAAUAAAUAAUCCCAUUUCGAUUAAUGUCACUUUAAUUGAAAAAACUCCCUAUUCCUCGGGAAAAUGAGGUGUGACAAUAGUGAGCCGUAACUUGUGAUAGCAAGUUAAAAAUUUAUUUGUAAUAUAUUAUCAAUAAUAUGCUUAGAUAUAAUUAUUAAUUACCUUACAAUUAAAUUGAUUAUGUAAAUAAUUGAUGAGUGUUGUAUAUUGUCUUCAUCUUAAAUUCGGUGAGAAAUCAUGAACAAUUUACUAUGUUUCUGUCAUAGCAAUAGAAACAGGAUCAACAUAUAUAAUUAACUAAUAUGUAUUUUUUUAAUUGACAUGUACUAAGUAAUGAGUGUUCAAUUCAAAAGAAAGUUAUGAAAAAUGGUUUUAUUAGAGAUUCCCAAAAAGAUAGAAAAGUCGCUCGCUCAAAGAAAACUUUUUAGUAGUACUUUAUAUUGAUUAAAAUGGAACAAAAAUAUCAACAUAAAAAAGACUGUCUUCUUUCAUUUCAUUGACCCUAUUUGUUUCUUUAAAAUGAACUUGAAAAUAACUAUUGAAAUAUAUUUAAAAAAUAAAUCAAUUAAAUCUUCAAGGCUUGUGUAUUCUUGCUAAAAACGAAAAUAAAGUGAUAAAAUUAUAAAACUGAAACAAAUUUUAAGUUGAAGGACUUCUAUAAGAUAAUUUAUUUCUUUAUUGAGUAAUCAAUAUUCAUCAUUUUAAAAAAACAUAUACAUUUUAUUUUAUUUCUCAAACACAAUUUCUCAUAAACUAGCAUUUAUGAUUUUUUAAAAAUAUUUACUCAAUGAGACAAGGUACACGCGCACGAAAGCCCUUAGUGAAAUGUUGUUCGCGUUUUUUACUCUUUAAAAAUAGAUUCCAUACUAGAUAAAACAGUUAUUUAAUUAUUUUUCUAAUAUUUAAAAGCUCAAAAUCAACUAAAUUUUAUUUUUAAUUUUUUUCUUAUUUAAACUACAUAGAAGGUCCUAAUAUUUAGGACUUCAAAUUCAAUUAAAAUUUACUUUACUCCAAUUCUUUCCUUAAACCAAUAUUAUAUCCUUGUGAACUUUAAACAUGCUUUUGGAGUUUAAUGCGUAUUCUUAGCCUCUGCUGCAUAUAAUUGUUAGUAUCCUUUUCUUUUACAAGUACUUUCAAUAAUCGAUUGCCUAAAAGACAUCACCAAUGCAUGUUAAUUUUUUUCCUUUUUAUUUUUAAAGAGUUUUGAUUUAUCUUUAGGUAUAACUUUAGAAGUCAUAAUUAUUAGUGGUAAUGUUAAUUUUAAAAAUAAUUUGAUCUACAUUCAUACUAUUUAAAAUUGUAACUAUAACUGAUAUUUAAACUUUAAAUAAACAAAUAUACUUGGAACUUUGAAAUAACUAUAAAUAUGAAAAAUUGUCCUCAGUGAACUUGAUUUUGAAAUUUCAAAAUUGUUAGUGGCAGAGUUUAUUCGGAAUGAGUUUAAGGUAGUGUUAACUUUUAUUUGGUCUUGGAUGAACAAGUAUAGAAGAAAUUAAGACUUAGACCAAUAAGAAUCUAGCCAAUGUUUUUGCAUAAGAAGAGGUGUACUUAUCAUAUUUAUAAUUUUGAUGACCUUUAAAUGAACAAAUAAGAAUUCUAUAUACUUAAGUUACAAAGAACAAAUUUCACAUGUUAAAAAUAGACAUAUAAAUAUUUAAAUAAAAAAAAUUAAUUUUUAUAGAAAGGAGCAGAACACGUAUUUAAAUUUUUAAUAUCUUUUGUUAGCUUAACGUCAUUUUUCUGCAUGAAAUAUUUAUUUUAGAAUCGUAAUAAAAUAAAAUUAGAUUUUAUUUUUGUAUUGUGCAAAAAAAUAGAAAACUGAUUUAUUUGUUACACCAUGAUUAGCAUAAAUUUUUUAUACUCUAUUUAUGCCAACUGGAAGCCUGUGCGCUUAGUUUCAUUAAAAAACAUGUUCGUCCAAAAUUAACAAUUAAUUAAGUACUAACUAAUUUAUUAUUUUCUAGUAUUAUAAUAUUAUGAAUAUAACAUUUAUAAAAGAGAUGUUGCCUGAGAUAUAACAACAUAAUAUAUUAAAUAUCUUAUAUAAUAAUGAUAAUAAAAUCUCUUAAACUCCAAAUACUAUAUAACUAAUUCAACUAUAUUCACCAUCUUUAUUUAUUUUGAAGAUAUUGAAUUCAGCUGUUGUAUUAAUGUAAUGAUAUUCAUUUUGAUCAUUUGAAGAAAUAUCUUUAGUUUAACAUCAAUUGCUAUUUUUCAAUAAUUUAUUCUUUUUGCACGUUUUUUCCCAAUAUUUUGAACUUCUAUUUUGCAAUUCUUGGGUUUAGUCUAACAUUAAUUUUGACAUUUUUUCAACUUGAAAACACUAUUAGAUGUCAUAAAAAGUAAAAGUAGAAAAGAAAAAAAAUGUUUAACUAAUUGGGAAAAAGUACAAAAUUAGACCACGGGUUACGUGGUGAAGCAAAUGUCUACGUAUUUGGCCCCCGUUUGGCCAUAGAUUUUGCCAAAUUUUUUCCAAUUUUUUUUAGCAAAUACUUAAUUAUUUAUAGAUUUUAUCCAUAUUUUGGCAAAUUUUCAAAUCCCAAAACCAGCUCAAGAGCUAUUUUUGGCCCAAAAUUUUACCGUUUGAUUUUUAAAAAAAUUUCAAAAAUUGUCCUAAAAUAUCUACCUUCGCCAAAGUUAUUGUGCCAAUCUGUGGCAAUAUAUCGCAAAGAUAAAAUUUGAAAGUAAUUUGCUAAAAUCUGCUAAUGUUUGCAUAAAUUUUCUUCAGAUUUGUUUCGCUUGUUUUGUAUGAAUUUUCUUCAGAGUUGGGUAUUUUUGAUAGUUUUUAAAAACUAUGGGUAUAAGUCAUAUUUAAAAAAAAAAAAAAAGAAGUGAAAUAUGUUUUGAAAAAUUAUGUCCAAACAGAUUAUCAUCUUCAAACCAAACUUCACCCAAAUCAGAUUUUUUAAAACAAAUUUGAAAAUGUAUGGCUAAACGCCAACUUGGAAAAUAUUAUAAUUAGAAAAACAAAAAACCAACAUAUUCGCGCUUAAACCCCAAGCUCUGUCUGUAUUCGAAAGGGUUAAGGUUUUCCCUCGAAGCUCAGGGUCAUUUCUUCAAUCUAAAAUUAAGAUUUUGCUCGGCGUGCCGUAUCAAAGUUUAAGGUACCCAUUUGAUAAGUGUUUAUUUUUAUCUUCCAUUACCGAAAUCUCCCGCCUCCUAAUUCCAUUGGCUUCGUUUCUGAAAGUUUCUCAAAGGUUCAAUCUUUUUAAUUGUGUUUCCCAAUCUUGGAUAAUUGGGCUAAAGCUUUAUAUUAGUUGGAGUAGUUGCUUUAUGGGAAUUUGCUACAGCAUAAUGUUGUUUCAGAUUUCUGAAUAUGAAAAGAACAAAAGAAGUAGAUCGAAUUCUUUUGUAUUUUUCUAGGUUUGACAUUGUUUUACUUAUUGUAAUGUAUAGUAAUGUUACUUUAGAUACAAUAUGUGUUUUGAUUGUUACUUAAAAUUCUCGUAUUGUUCCAUAGUUACGUAACAAUGAAAUGUUCCAUUUUAUGCAAUGACCUAUUAGGUGUGGUCGUGUCGUUACCCUAUUUUUUAUUCUCAUUUUGUCCUUAAUAUUAUUGAAUAAUUAUAUUUUACCCGUUACACUACCCUUUUUUAUAAUAUCUCUACCUUGUACUCUACUUUUGUUUUGUAAUAUUGUUAACUUAUUUUUCAAAUUGUUGGUACGUGACAUUAUGAAAAGACGGGGAAUGAUACAAUCUAUCCAAAUGUUGUAUUAAUCAAAACAAUACAAUAUAAUACCAUACAUUAUGAAACAAUAUGUAACAACCAUCCAAACAAGUUGUGAGUGCACAUCGGCACAUCUAUGUGGCUAUUUGAAUUUUUCUGGUCUUCUUGCAUGUUUGUCCCUCCCACAUGCUUCUCUCUGUCCUUUGCCAUCUCUUUGAUUCACUUCUCAGCUAUGUUGCGCAGGCUCUACCGCCGCACCCGUGUCGGAUUCUCCAAAAAUGCACUACUUUUGGAGGAUCCGACACGCACCAAGCCACCCACUUACAUUUUCGGAGAAUCCGAGCAACAUAGCUUCUCAGUUCAGAGUUCUUUUUCUCAACCUAAAUUUAAGCUUUUGCUCGCAGCGCAGCAUCAAGGUUUUCAAUGAUUCCAUUUUCUUGAUUAUGUUUUACAAUCUUGGAUAAUAAGGCUAAAUUUUGUAUUAGUUGGUUUUGGAAUUGGUUGUAUGUUGUUUCAUUGAUUCCUGAAUCUGAAAAGAACUCUUGUGUUUUACUCUAGGUUUGACACUGAGUCUAAAUUGGCACAUCUAUAUGACUGUUUAAACUUUUCAAGUUUUCUUUUUGCUCGUAUUGUUCUUGUUGGAAAAGGUAAAGUUUGCAUUUUGCAAUUAUUUACUUUGGUGGAAGUAUCAAUGACCUUAUCAUUGAUUUUUAAAGUCAUAUGGGAGUUAACUAUUUGAAGUCAGUGAGUAAAGAAAUAAAUGAAACAGUAGACUGUUUUAAAUGGAACAAUUAGAGAGUCCUUUUGAAAUUUAUGCUUAUAUUUGAAGUGAUGCAUUUUACCAAUCAAAUGAUGUUUGGGGCCAAGCUGAAACUACUUCUAGUGGUUUGGGUAUAAACUAAACAUAUCCACAAUUUUCAACUGCUUUAAGCCUCAGAAUCGCACUAUCCCUCCUUUGCACUAACGCACUACUUUUCAUCUCUUUCCGCAAUGAACACCUAUUGUUCGAAACCUUUUUUUCCCCAAUGAUUUUCAAUGGCAAAACAAGAGUUGUGCUGAACUGGAUUAUAAUGCUCUGUUUGCUCUCAUUUCUCAAAAGGAAGUGUCGACGCUGAUAUGAUAACUCCUUUUACACAUAAAAACCCAUUGAUAUGAUAUUUCCUUCUGAUUUUACAAGUUAACAUUUUCCUUAUUCCUAUGUUAUAAUAGCUGAAAUUUGUGAUGGUAUACUAAUUUGUGCAGUAAGGAUAAGAUUUUAUUUAAUUAUGCCAAUAUGAGUUUCACAAAACAUAUUCUCAAGCUGGGGUUAAAAAAGAGAGUUGCGGCUGAUUAAAAAAAAGAUAAAGGAAGAGAGUUGUGGUAGAUUGAUAACUAGUAAAAUUAUAGUCUCAAGUAUGAUGAACUCCUUUGAAUAUGGAUACAGAAGCUUCAUAUAUUCAAGCCUAACUAGUUUACGAAUGAGGGGCAGUUGGUAGAUCAAUUGAUUGAUUUAGAUAAAUAAUUGCAAAGAACCUGAGUUUUAUAUUGGGAGCAUUGCUUGCUUGGAUCUGCACUUUCUUCCACUUCGAUUCUAUCUGUGAUUACUUUGUUUCCUCCAGUUUAUGUUCCUUUGGCACUCUUUCAUUCUUUCAAAUAUUUGUGUACGUGAACCAAAGCUAGAAACAGUGACUUUGACUAGUUGAACAUUCGUUGUUGUUUAUGCUUUUGGUCUUUUAAGACAUUGGACAGCUCUUAUCUCACUUCUUAUGAUGGUUUCUCUGUCUUUUUUGAAUCCAUAAACUUCAUUAUUUUCGAAUUUUGGAAAUUUGCAAUUAUUUUGAAAUGAUCCUCAUUUGUUUAAACAGUCAAUGGAACACGGUUCAUUUGAAGAUCCAUCAAAAGCAACAUUCUCGUUCACAGAUGAGGACCAUACGCUGGCAAAUGCUGUCCGAUUCACUCUAAAUCAAGAGUUAGUAAUUCAUCUCUUCCUUUUUCCUUUCUUUUUCAUUGUGCAGUAAUCACCGCAAGUACUAUUAUAUUUUGUAUUUUUAUUUACUGAUAUAAAUAAUACUAUUGAAUUAUGCUUGAAGUUUAAUACUUCACUGGUAAAAUAGAUGGCCUCUGUAUCUCAUUUUAUUACAUACCACUGAUCUUUGUUAAUCUUGUCCCUUCCCUAUUUUCUAAACAGUGGUUUUUGCGACAAGCUUCGGACAUUGAUUAACUGAUAUUUAAUUCUUGCAGUCCCAGAGUAACAUUCUGUGGUUACAGCAUUCCACAUCCCUCUGAUGCUCGUGUAAACAUAAGAGUUCAGACUACUGGUAAAGCUUAAAUAUUUCUCAAAUGUAUCCUUAUCAACAGUUUCUCUAACUUGUAAAAAAGAAAAGCGUAAAUAUCUAAGUUGCUCGGACAGGGGUGCAGGUGUCCGACACGGGUGCGGAUCUUUCAAGAUGUAAAUUUUAAGAUUCGGGGAUACGGAUCCUAGUACGGGUGCGGGGAUCUGGCUAAAAAUAAUUAAAAAAUAUAUAAAUCUCUCUAAUUUAUGAGAAAUUUUGUGGAAUACUUACGUAUAGCUUGUAAAGUGUAGAUUUCCCUUUUAUUCUCAAGUUGUAGAUAAGUAAAAGAUUGAUUUCCUAGAUAAAAUAUGUUAUUUUCUUCAAAUUUACCCUAGUUUUAGUUCUGAUUUCGGUAAUCAAAUUGUAUCUCGUCUCGAAUUUUUCGAUCCGUCGUGGUCAAAGUACCCAAAAUUGUUUGACCAGAUCCGGUACGGAUCCCAUACCCACACCCAUACUAGUGUCGUGUCGACACGGGUGCGGCACCUAAACUGUCAUGUCGUAGCAACUUAGGUAAAUAUUUCUCUAACUUACACUUGACAGUUUUCUACCUUGUAAUGCACAGUUUUCUAACUUUUGGAUAGAGUUACCUGGUACCUAUUGCUAGGGGUGUUCAUGGUUCGGUUUGGAUUGGUUUUUCUCUAAAAAGAAACCAAACCAAGUAAGUCGGUUCUUCAAAUAUUAGAACCAAACCAAACCAAUUAAGUCGUUUUUUUAUUGAUUCGAUUUUUGUCGGUUUUUAGGUUUUUUCGGUUAUUUAUCGUUUUUUUCUUAAAUAUGAGACGUACACUGCCAAACACAUCUUCCGGCGAGUACAUUUUCACCGUAACACUAUCAAAUCAAUUGCUCUUUGAGUAAUCUAUCUUGUACCAAGAUAUAUUGAUAAUAAUUGAAUCAAAUACUGAUGAAUAAUUUAAUUACUCAAUUAAAAAUCGAUUAUUUUUAAAUGAAAUAAAUUUUUGUACUUAGCAAAAGCAAACUACCAAUCAAAUUAGAGUAUAAAAGCAAAGAAUUUGAUUAUUAUAAGAGCAAAGAACUAGACUAAAAAUACAAAUGACUAAUAUGUACCAUAAAAUUUUAGAAACUUUAUAUAAAUACACACACACACACACACAUAUAUAUAUAUAUAUAUAAUAAAUUUUAAAUAACUACUUAUAUAGUCAGUUUGGUUCGGUUUUUUCAGUUAUUUUUUGAUUAAAACCGAAACCAAACCUAAUUUAAUCGGUUUUAAAAUUCAAUGCCAAAACCAAACCAAACCUAAAAAGUAUUAGUUUUUUUGGUCGGUUUGGUUCGGUUUUCCGGAUUUUUAUGAACACAUACCUGUUGCUGGUGGGAGGUGGCAGAUAUCCCGUGUAAUUAGUUGAGGUGCGCGCAAGCUAGCCAGAAUACCAUGGUUAUCAAAAAAAAAAUUAAAUAUUUCUCUUGUGAUAGGAAUACAGAGGGUAAUCUUUUAGAGGUUGUCACUUCCCUCAUGUAUUUGUCACCAGGGCACCUGAUGUGUUUUUUUUCAAUUUUUUUCUUAUUCAUUCCUCGUUGACGUCGGUGUCACAUGAGUCUGGCCGACCCAAAGGGCACGAUAGUCCAAGACGAGUAUGGCCGUCAUUGUUUUUUUUUGCUUAUAUAUCAUUCAAAUUAACAUCCGUUUUCCAUACUAGAGGCAGUUUCAAAUACCUUGGGUCGGUUAUCCAAGGGGUAGGGGAGAUCGAUGAGGAUGUCACACACCGUAUUGGAGUAGGAUGGAUGAAGUGGAGGUUAGCAUCUGGAGUCCCGUGUGACAAGAGAGUGCCACCGAUACUUAAAGGUAAGUUUUAUAGGGCGGUGGUUAGACCGGCCAUGAUGUAUGGAGCUGAGUAUUGGUCUGUUAAGAACUCAUAUAUCCAGAAGAUGAAAGUAGCAUAUACGAGGAUGUUGAGGUGGAUGUGCGGGCACACUAGGAUGGAUAAUAUUAGGAAUGAUGAUAUUCAGGAGAAGGUGGGCGUGGCUCCCAUUGAUAACAAGAUGCGGAAAGCGAGGCUUAGAUGGUUCGGGCACGUUCAGAGGAGAAGCCCAGACGCUCCGGUAAGGAGGUGUGAGCGGCUGGCCUUGGAAGGCUCGAGAAGAGGUAGAUGGCAGCCUAAGAAGUAUUGGGGAGAGGUAAUCAGGCAGGACAUGGUGAGACUUCAGAUUUUCGAGGACAUGGCCCUUGAUAGGGAGCUGUGGAGGUCGAGUAUUAGGGUUGUAGGUUAGGAGGUAGUUGAGUCUUUCUUUAGUUCGUACAUUAGGGUUUUUGUCUGAGACAACUAUUGGCAAUGUUGUGUCUUACUACCCUUCCGUUUCAUAGAGCCGACUCUAUUUAAUGGUUACCGCUUUUGCUCUGCACCUAUUUUCUGGCAUUCAUGAUGUUAAUUUUUAUUUCUUAUGGUAUCUGUUGGUGGUAUUGAUAUUGUCUCUUUUCUUUUCUCUUCCUCUUCGUCUUCUUGAACCGAGGGUCUUUCGGAAACAACCUCUCUACUCCUCGGGGUAGGGGUAUGGUCUGCGUACAUACUACCCUUCCCAGACCUCACUAGUAGGAUUUUACUGGGUUGUUGUUGUUGCCAUACUAAUGGACUGAGCAUGGCCGUCAUUUUUUUUUUUUGGGCUUCUUACUUAUCAUUCAAAUUGACAUCCGUUUUCCAUACUAAUGUAACAUGCUUGAUAUUUGCUAAAACUUUGGUCAUAGACUUCUAAAUGGCUUGUUCGGGUUCAUUCUUGUUAAUCAAUAUUUUGUUGGUGUCACAUUUUGGCCAGUUUGUUUUAUUGGAUAAAUAUCUUCUUGUUAGAGAUCGCUUAACCUAUAUACAUCAUAUGAUACAACCGUCUGGAAAUCCAUUAAAACAAUUUGCUCUUCCACAUGUUUAUACACUUGCAUUCUGAGAAACGUUGUCGUUAUCUGUUUGAGUUUUUCUGCAACUUUUGGUGGUUUAUUUGGCAGGGGAUCCAGCAAGGGAGGUAUUGAACGAUUCGUGUCAGGAUCUAAUGCUUAUCUGCCAGCACGUUAGAGGCACAUUUGAUCAGGCUAUUUCAAAGUUUAAAACCGAAAAAGGUCUGAGCCCUAUGGAUCUCAAGAAAUGAUUUUGACGUAACGUUUAUUAUACCUUUUUAUCCAUGUAAAAUUUUGUCACUUUUUGCAAACACAAGGAGACUUUUAAAUGUGAUUGCUCUAUUUAUUUUGUGCAUAUCUGCACAAAAAGUUGCUUUUUGCAGAAUCAUUUUAUCCCGUAAAGAUGUUACAUCAGAUUGUUAGCUAUAAUGCUUAUGCUUUUGUUGCGCACAGUCAAGUGUCAAUUGGGUGGUCUUCUUAUCUAUGGCUGUGCAAAUAUCAGCAAGUUGAGGUUCAGAUACAUAAAGAUUAUACCUUUUUAUAUGCAAAUAUUAGUCUGCACAUUGGUUGCGUUGGAUUACUACCACUACAAGCCUAUACUGUACAAAGCAAAAAGAUUCUGGUCAAGGAAGCUUGCGUAGUGUCUCAGAAAAAUUGGGGCCAUCCUUUCUUUGCCAGUGGUUAAACAAAUUAAUUUCACAUCGAAAGGUAUAUUUGAAAUUAGGAUCAAUUGGUUUUUUGGCUCUUUAUAAACUUGUUUUUAGUUUUAUGAUCCUAUUUUUUUUUUUACACAUUAGAGAUUUAUUUUUAUGUGUAAGAGAUCGAUCUGUCUUUUACAUAUAAGAUAUCUAAAAAUGUCAUUUUCUUAAAUUCAAAAUUGUAAAGGGGCAUGAUGUACAAAUAGCACUUGAGAACUAUCAUUCAUAUUCUAUGGACCGAAAAUCCCAAAAAUUUACACGGUUACUUGAAAAGUAAUUGCAAGUCACUUUAGUAAGUAGUUGGUUGGUAACUUGAAAUAAAUGAUAAAAAAAUAUAAUAGGUAAAAUAUGCAUAUAAUAUAUCAGGAAAACUAGGCCAACAAAAUCCCCACGUUAAUUUUCUGGGCUAAUAAUGCCUUCAUUCUAACAGCUGCCCACAUAAGCUUCUAAGAGGCAUUAAUUAGCUGACAUGACCAUCCACAAACGGAUCCAAUAAAGGCGAUUUGAGACUUGAGGGGAUGAUACGAUCGAGUAAGGGUUAACAACACAAAUUGAAGAUCAUCUGAAGUUAUAUAGGUAAUUUCUUCUUCCGUUUAAUGGGUCUCUGACUCGAAUAAAGGGAUCAGUCAAUUAUUUUUGUAAUUUUCUAGGGUUUUGUCAUGUACUAGUACUUUUGAUUCUGAAGCUUAGUGUAUAGUGUUUGCAUGUGGGUCUGAUACUCUUUUUGUUUGUUAUCUUUGUUGUUUCCUUAUGUGGUGUCAAUUUGUGCCCUAAGUCCGCAUAUUUUAUCAUGGUGUGAUAGGGUUGGGUUGUUGAAAUUGACUCUUAAAGACAUUAUUUUUUGCUUUCCAUUGUAUUAUAUGGAGUAAUUUAUUGUGGUAGGGUUGGGUUGUUGAAAUCGAGAGAAGCAUGUGCUUUAUCUCUUAAAGAGUGUGCUUUAUUCUUUUCACUAUAUUAUAUGUAAUAAUUUAUUGUAUGUUCAAUCUUUUAUUGUAAAAGUUCUUAAAUUAUUCAUGCGGUCCCUCUAUAUUUUCUUAUGUGUCUAUAUUAUAGAUAUUUCAAUAUGGGGGACCAUGAAGAGCCAAUUUCAGGUCAAUAUUAGUGUGAAUUAGGUACUGAUUGUGAAUCUGAUAGUGAUACAAGUUCAGAUUAUGGUUCAGAUGUUAGUGAAUAUGAUUUUGAAGAAUUAGAGUUACUUAGGAUGCAAAAGGGUAAAGAUGUUAAUGAUAAGCUUACUCACUACAAAGAACAUGAUAAGUCUAUGACAUUUAAGGACUUGGAUGAGGCCAGAAAAGUCAUGAACUCUAUUGCAAAUUCCAAACCACUAAAGCUUAGAAAAAAAUGAUAAAAUAAGAGUAAGGUAUAGAUGUGUAGUAGGCUUCCCUUUUGUAUGCCUCAUCUAUGAAGAUAAGAAGGGUCCUGGCUUUAAGAUAAAACAUUUAGACAAAACACAACUGUGAAAAUGUAUUUGAGAAUCCUAGAGCCAAAACAAAAAUUUUAGAUCAAUAUUUCAGGAGUAAGGUGCAAAAUAACCCCAAGUAUAAGAUAAAGGAUAUGAAACAAGAUUUGAAAAAUUAAUUUUCAUUGAAUGUACAUAACUCCACAUUGAAAAUGCUAAGAGGAUGGCACUUCAACAAUUGGGAAGCUUUUUAGAUGACAAUAAUAGAUUAGAAGCAUGUGCAAAUGAGAUUAGGGAGAGCAAUCCUAGUAGUGAUGUAGUUAUCAAUUUAUCAAAAGAUGCCAUUGCUGAAGGCAAACAAAGAUUUCUUAGAAUGUACAUAUGAUUAAAUACAAUGAAGUUAGGGUUCAAACGAGGUUUGAGACAAUUCAUUGGACUAGACAAAACUUUUUUAAAGGGUCAUUGCAAGGGGCAACUAUUGGUGGCUGUUGCAUAAGAUUGCAUGAAUCAUUUCUAUCCCUUGACCUGGGCUGUAGUUGACAAGGAAAACACCUUGACAUGGACAUGGUUUCUAGAGCUGCUGAAACACUCACUGAAUCUGAAAGAUGGAACCAACAUUACCUUUAUGUCUAUAUGCAAAAGGUACAAGUUAUGAUUUUGUUUAAUGGACUAUUCUAGUUAUUUUUAUCCUUAUCAUAUAGUUAAUUUUGUUUAAAUUUUCAUGUGCAGGGUCAGUUGGAAGCAGUAAGAACUGUCCUCCAUCUCUCAAAUCACAGGUUAUGUGUGAGGCAUAUUGAAUCCAACUAGAGUAAGAGGAUUAGAAUUUUAGGAGAGAUGAAAAAAUACUUAUGGUGGUCUGCUUGGAGCACUUAUGAGUGUUGAUACCCAAUUUUUCCCUCAUAUUUUAAAUAUAUAUAUACUUUCAAAAUAGUGCAUAUUCAUCAUCAUUUGAUUUAUAAGCAUACACAAGUAUUUUCAUAAUUUUUCAUGAUUUUUAAAGACUUUAAACCAAUUUAUUUUUGCAUUUUUAUUGUAUAAAUAUCCAAUAAUUAUCCUCCAAAUUAUUUUAUGAUGAUUUAAUCAUCUAAACUUAUCAUUUAUACCAGCAUGAGGUUUUAAAUAUUUUUUCAGUGCAUUUUUUAUAAUUACAUUUGCAUUUUAGGGCUAAUUGCAUAUUUUUGCAAUAAUAGCCCAUAUUCAUGUAUAAUUACAUUAUUUAUGCAAAAAAUAAAUUUUUAUAUUUUAUAAUAUUAAGUUAUUAUUUUGAAUCAUUUUAGUACACAAAUAAUAUUUUUUGUUAUUCAUUAAUUACUUUUAUAAAUUACUUUUGCUAAAAUGUUGGGUAUUUAAAAACUAGCCCCACUUUUAACCUAUUUUCGGACCAAAUAAUGGCCCAAAACACCUAAUACACUAGCCCAAAUCAAUGAUCAACUAAUCCUAACCCGGUCGGUACCCGUUUCACACGACCAACCCCACUCACUUUUUAAUCAUGGCCGUUGAUCUUGAGAGACCAACGGCCCUUAUUAUUUUCCUCCUUUUAAUUACCCCCUUCAGCCCCUAACCCUAAUCACUCCCUUUUGCCCACUGCCCUAAUAUUCUCUCAUCUCCCUUCUCCCUCUCUGAAGAACCCUAAACAUUCCACCCUAAAUCUUCUCCUAAUCCCACCUAAUAUGGGAUUCCAUGGCUAUUACUUACCAUACUUGGCCUCCUUCUGAUACUGGCUACUCUCCUAUAGUGCUUGCCUAAACAUGGCAAGCAGAUCUCAUCAAAAUUGAACCAAAAUCGGUUCAAAUCCCUGAUUUUUGAAUGUUAUUCCAUCCAUGUUCAUCAUAUGCCGUGUUAGUCCGAUUUUGUUUAUAUUCUAUUGACUCUUACUUACCCUAAAACUAGGAUUUACAGAAUCGAACCAAAAUUGGUUCAAAUCUCUGAUUUUAAGCGAUGUUUCCAUCUAUAUUCAUCUUAUUCUGUGCAACGUUUGAUUUUUUAUUUUUAGAUUCUGCUAAAUUUUUAUACUUUCCCUAAAAUUAGGGUUUUGAAAUUUCUCUCUUUUCCUUACUGAUUUCGAUUGCAUGUGGUGUUAUUUCCUUUCUAGUGUUUUAUUGAUGGUUUUUCAUGUUUAUGUGUUCGAUUUCUACACUAUAUAAACCCUUCCCCUUCCCCCUUUGAAACAGACUUCAAUCACCAUUUUCCCACUAAAACAACUGAGGUUUUUACUCUGUAUUUGUUUAUUACUCUAUUCUGUUUGAAUCUUGGCCGGCUGAAAGCCAAGGCCACCGGAUUUCUAUUCUUCCCGACCUUUCUUGGGUGUGAGCACUGUCCUGGGUUCUCGAAACCCUUGGAACUUGACACAUUCGAGAUUCUGGGUCCCUACUGCUGUUCUUUUCUUGUUUGUUGAACAAUCACUGGUUAGUUUCUAACUUUCGCAAUGUUUAUCAUGUUCUAAUUAGCAUGUUCUUUGAAUUGCAUGACCUAAUAUGUUCUCCUGACUCUUUUCCUGUUUAGUUCUGCCUAUAAUUGCUAGCUUAAUAAUGUCUUUGUACUUAACUUAGUUAAUUCAGACAGAAUAAAGCAUGCUUAGUGUAGUGUUAUUCUUAUUACAUGGUUUAAUCCAUGUUUCUUUGCCUAAUCACGAACUUGUUUAAGACCUUUACUCUAAGUGUAGUAUGCUCCUAUGGCUAUGGUUGCCACUCUAUGUGUUCUUGCCAUGUCCAAAUCUGCACCUCUAGCAACUUGUUAUCCAUUAAACUUGACUGAUACCCUGUAUGAUAUCUAAUCGUGUUUGUAUUAUACUGUGUAAUCCUGAGUUUGGGUAUAAUUUGAUCCUUUAAGUUCUAAACUGGUUGUAUUAAUUGGUUUUACUAGUCUAAUGUCCUUGCCUGUUAACUUUGCAAUCCCAGGCUCCUUGUUUCUUAUCAUAUGUAACUCUGCCCCAAUGUAUUAGUUUGCUUCUCGAGUUCAUGUUCAUUAUGUGAUUAUCUUAAAGUGUCUGUAAAUGCUUUUCCAAACCCAUUACUUUCUUACUAUUUUCAUUGAUUGUUUCCCUGUUAUGAGUCUCUAAUUCUUGGACGGCUGAAAGACAAUGUCUCCUAAAACUUCUCUAUUAACCUCCCUAGUGUGAGCACUGCUCGGGGUCCACUUUGAGACCCUUGUGAAAUCUGACACACUAGGGCCUAAGGUUCUUGGCCACUGCUCAAUUAUGUCCCUCUCUAUGCCUACUGAAUAAGCCAAUUGGCUUGUGUAAAUGACUGUUUUUCUGAAUCUUUUGAUCGACUAUGGCUGUUGGGUAUCAUCUAAGUUCUCUUAUGGUUUCUGGGCUGUGUUGAAACCUGUAUGGAUGCAAAACUGAAGGCCUUGCUGGGCUGGGUACACUUUGGGCCUGUCUUAGGCCCAUUAUAAUUAUUUGUAUCAUUUUUUUUAUUGGGCCUGUAAUAAUUCUGUAAUAACAAUUGGGGUAUUAGUAAAAAUUAGAAAAAUGGGUUUAUUCUAAUAUUUGCGUGAACGGGUAGAAAUCCUGCCUAUAGGUGUUUAAUUUACUCAACAUGUUCUGUUAGAUAACCUGCCUAUAGGACCUGAGUGUUUAAUUCGUUUAACACAUUCUUCUCAUAUGUGUUUAUUAGAUACCAUGCCUAUAGGAAAUAAAGUGUCAAUGACCAAUCUUUCAAUUUACAUAACUGCAGCAUUUUCAUUAGAUACUAUGACUAUAGGGCUAUGUUAGCUUAUGUUCUAUAAAAUAUGCAUUUAGAAAUCAUGCCAAUAUGGUUUUAAUUGGUUAAUUCACUAUUAUACUGCCCACCUAGGAGACAUGCCUAUAGGAGCUAAGUAUAAAAAAUCAAUUUCAAUCGUUAAUCGUUAGAAAUCCUGCCUGUAGGGUAAUACCACUCGCUUUUAAGUGUUAAUAUUGAACUUUCAACACUGUUUCAUUGCCACUAUUAGAAAACAUGCCUAUAGGAUCAAAUUGAGUAAUUCUAAAUAUCUCUCGUGUUUAUCAUUGCCAAAUACUGCAUAAGUCACCUAGAUAGCCUGUCUAUAGGUUUCAACCGUUUAUACUUAUAAUCAGUAGGCAACUAUGUAGUCGCUCAUAAAUUAUACUCUGCAUAACUGCCCACAUGAUCAAAAUCUAGAAUCACAUAGAAAUCAUAUCUAUAGGAUUUAAUGAUUUUAACUCAUCUUAAUUCUGUGACUGUCAAACGCCAAUUUGUGUGCGUGCAUUUGUUGUCUAAGUGCGGAGGCUAGCUUGAGCCAUUAUCUGCUUUUAUAUGAAGUCCAACUUUCUUUUGUAUGUCGCCUAGUUUUAUCAUUUUGAGCAACCUAAGUUAAGUCUAGGACCACCUAAAAUAGAGGUCCAAAUGCUUCCGGGACCAUAGGCAUGGGACGGGUAGUGCAUGCAUAAGGUACGACUUAGAAUCAAUUAGUGCGCCUUAGGUAACAACUUAAAGAUAGUAAUUGGGUAGCAGGAGAUGAUAGUCUGUGCCCGCUGAAUAAUAUGAGUAACACCCCAU